UCCGAUGACGAUCGAGUACUUGGUCUUCGUCUCGUUUGCCUUGACGAAUCGAGUCUCAUAGCUCGAAGGGAGGCCGAUAAGCGCGUACGUGCCGAGCUUCUUGUACUCGGCGGGGCUCGAAGGGACUAGCGUUUUUGUCUCCGGGUUCACCAGUUGGUGGUCAAUAGAGAUCCCAAGUUCACCAAUUUUGUCGAGUUUCGAACGCACAAGGUUAUUUACGGGCGAUAUGCUGGAUUGCUUUUCUCGCUCUGUGUUGACAUAACAGAUAACGAGCUUGCAUACUUGGAGUGCAUUCACUUAUUUGUAGAGAUUUUGGAUCACUUCUUCAGCAAUGUCUGUGAACUAGACUUGGUAUUUAAUUUUCAUAAGUCUGUCACCAUGGUGGCCAUAAUCUAGCAGUGGAUGAAGGAUUCAAGAAUGCCUUCACACCAGGAGGAGGAAGAGGUGCGGCGGGAGAACAAGUGGGUAUUUAAAUAUGUCUUUAUGUCUCCUCUUGAACCAAUAAAGAUGAUUUGUGUUUAUUUUUCUGUGUCAGUCUUUUAGUUGUCGAAAUAUCCAAUUCCCUUUCAAUGUUACUAAAAUUC
Long non-coding RNA from Syzygium oleosum, 584 nucleotides. RefSeq lists it as uncharacterized. NCBI's taxonomy places the organism in Eukaryota, Viridiplantae, Streptophyta, Magnoliopsida, Myrtales, Myrtaceae. The transcript has 4 exons. The record is from RefSeq and is a predicted model, not a curated record.